CCUACGGGUGGCAGCAGUGGGGAAUAUUGGGCAAUGGAGGCAACUCUGACCCAGCAACGCAGCGUGAAGGAAGAAGGCCUUAGGGUUGUAAACUUAUGUUGUAAAGGAAGAAAAGAAUGACGGUACUUUACAAGAAAGCCUCGGCUAACUAUGUGCCAGAAGCCGCGGUAAGACAUAGGGGGCAAGCGUUGUUCGGAUUUUCUGGGCGUAAAGGGAGCGUAGGCGGUAGGUUAAGUUAAGAGUGAAAGCCUUGGGCUCAACCCAAGAAAUGCUCUUAAUACUGGUUUUCUAGAGUGUGGUAGAGGUAGGUGGAAUUCCUGGUGUAGCGGUGUAAUGCGUAGAGAUUAGGAGGAACAUCGGGGGCGAAGGCGGCUUACUGGACCAUAACUGACGCUGAGGCUCGAAAGCGUGGGGAGCAAACAGGAUUAGAUACCCUGGUAGUC
RNAcentral lists this ribosomal RNA (443 nucleotides) under uncultured bacterium. RNAcentral describes it as "partial 16S ribosomal RNA". It matches the Rfam family "Bacterial small subunit ribosomal RNA", at positions 338 to 795 of the family's 1533-position model. The record is from RNAcentral.